UACGGAGGGAGCUAGCGUUGUUCGGAAUUACUGGGCGUAAAGCGCACGUAGGCGGACUGGAAAGUCAGAGGUGAAAUCCCAGGGCUCAACCUUGGAACUGCCUUUGAAACUAUCAGUCUGGAGUUCGAGAGAGGUGAGUGGAAUUCCGAGUGUAGAGGUGAAAUUCGUAGAUAUUCGGAGGAACACCAGUGGCGAAGGCGGCUCACUGGCUCGAUACUGACGCUGAGGUGCGAAAGCGUGGGGAGCAAACAGG
RNAcentral lists this ribosomal RNA (253 nucleotides) under uncultured bacterium. Its description in RNAcentral is "partial 16S ribosomal RNA". It matches the Rfam family "Bacterial small subunit ribosomal RNA", at positions 524 to 776 of the family's 1533-position model. The record is from RNAcentral.